CCUACGGGAGGCAGCAGUGAGGAAUAUUGGUCAAUGGGCGCGAGCCUGAACCAGCCAAGUAGCGUGAAGGAUGACUGCCCUACGGGUUGUAAACUUCUUUUAUAAAGGAAUAAAGUGAGCCACGUGUGCCUUUUUGUAUGUACUUUAUGAAUAAGGAUCGGCUAACUCCGUGCCAGCAGCCGCGGUAAUACGGAGGAUCCGAGCGUUAUCCGGAUUUAUUGGGUUUAAAGGGAGCGUAGAUGGAUUGUUAAGUCAGUUGUGAAAGUUUGCGGCUCAACCGUAAAAUUGCAAUUGAUACUGGCAGCCUUGAGUACAGUUGAGGUCGGCGGAAUUCGUGGUGUAGCGGUGAAAUGCUUAGAUAUCACGAAGAACUCCGAUUGCGAAGGCAGUUGACUAAACUGCCACUGACAUUGAGGCUCGAAAGUGUGGGUAUCAAACAGGAUUAGAUACCCGAGUAGUC
This 460-nucleotide ribosomal RNA is filed under the name uncultured bacterium. RNAcentral's name for it is "partial 16S ribosomal RNA". It matches the Rfam family "Bacterial small subunit ribosomal RNA", at positions 338 to 795 of the family's 1533-position model. The record is from RNAcentral.